This 514-nucleotide ribosomal RNA is filed under the name uncultured fungus. Its description in RNAcentral is "partial 18S ribosomal RNA". The stretch from base 1 to 403 matches the Rfam family "Eukaryotic small subunit ribosomal RNA", at positions 74 to 388 of the family's 1831-position model. Lineage: Eukaryota; Fungi. The record is from RNAcentral.
ACAUUACAAGAAACUGCGAAUGGCUCAUUAUAUAAGUUAUCGUUUAUUUGAUAGUACCUUACUACAUGGAUAACCGUGGUAAUUCUAGAGCUAAUACAUGCUGAAAAUCCCGACUUCGGAAGGGAUGUAUUUAUUAUAUUCAAAACCAAUGCCCUUCGGGGCUCCAAUGGUGAUUCAUGAUAACUUCUCGAAUCGCACGGCCCCGCGCCGGCGAUGGUUCAUUCAAAUUUCUUCCCUAUCAACUUUCGAUGCUACGGUAGUGUCCUAGCAUGGUUGCAACGGGUAACGGGGAAACGGGGAAUAAACCNUNGNCGGGGCGGGGGNGAAAAAAAGAGGUUAUUNUGAAUCCUNGGNGNUCGAAGGGUUGGNUUUGUAUCUUUACAUUAUCCUUUCAANUCGGGAUUUCAGNAUGUAUUAUUCUAGANAACGGUUNUNAUGUGNAAGGUACUAUCAAUUGAUAAUUUAUUUAAUGAGCNUGUGUUUCGCUUUGUUUUGNUUUCCUUAUUNUGNAUGG